CGGGCAGAAGCUCAGUGGUAGAGCUCUCGCUUCGUGUACGGGAAGACGUGGGUUUGAUUCCCGGCUGCUUAC
Toxocara canis (dog roundworm) is the source of this 72-nucleotide transfer RNA. It matches the Rfam family "tRNA". From Rfam's summary of the family: Transfer RNA (tRNA) molecules are approximately 80 nucleotides in length. Their secondary structure includes four short double-helical elements and three loops (D, anti-codon, and T loops). Lineage: Eukaryota; Metazoa; Nematoda; Chromadorea; Rhabditida; Toxocaridae. The record is from Rfam.